RNAcentral lists this ribosomal RNA (253 nucleotides) under uncultured bacterium. RNAcentral's name for it is "partial 16S ribosomal RNA". It matches the Rfam family "Bacterial small subunit ribosomal RNA", at positions 524 to 776 of the family's 1533-position model. The record is from RNAcentral.
UACGAAGGGUGCAAACGUUGCUCGGAAUUAUUGGGCGUAAAGCGCACGUAGGCGGCUUGGCAAGUCGGAUGUGAAAUCCCUCGGCUCAACCAAGGAAGUGCAUCCGAAACUGCCGAGCUUGAGUACUUAAGAGGAUCGCGGAAUUCCCGGUGUAGAGGUGAAAUUCGUAGAUAUCAGGAGGAACACCGGUGGCGAAGGCGGGUCUCUGGGCCGAUACUGACGCUGAGGAGCGAAAGCGUGGGGAGCGAACAGG